GCGCUAAAUCAUUGAUUUAGUUGAAAUACGUCACGGACUUAAAAUCCCCCGCUCGUAAGGGCGUGCCGGUUCGAUUCCGGCUUCGGGCACCA
This 92-nucleotide transfer RNA is filed under the name Pseudomonas costantinii. RNAcentral's name for it is "tRNA_Pseudo_TAA". Lineage: Bacteria; Pseudomonadati; Pseudomonadota; Gammaproteobacteria; Pseudomonadales; Pseudomonadaceae. The record is from RNAcentral.